UGAGGAAUCUUCCACAAUGGGCGAAAGCCUGAUGGAGCGACACCGCGUGAAGGAUGAAGCCUUUGUUGGUGUAAACUUCUUUUCUCUGGGAAAAUAAUGAUGGUACCAGAGGAAUAAGGGGCGGCAAACUUCGUGCCAGCAGCCGCGGUAAUACGAAGGCCCCAAGCGUUAUCCGGAAUUACUGGGCGUAAAGCGUCUGUAGGUGGUUUUUUAAGUCUGUCCAUGAAACUUCGAGGCUCAACCUCGAAUAGUGGUAGAAACUGGAGAACUUGAGUGUGGGAGGGGGAAGCAGAACGGUAAGAGUAGGGGUGCAAUCCGUUGAUACUUACCAGAAUACCAAAAGCGAAGGCAGCUUCCUGGAACACUACUGACACUGAGAGACGAAAGCGUGGGGAGCAAAAG
RNAcentral lists this ribosomal RNA (402 nucleotides) under uncultured bacterium. Its description in RNAcentral is "bacterial SSU rRNA". It matches the Rfam family "Bacterial small subunit ribosomal RNA", at positions 355 to 774 of the family's 1533-position model. The record is from RNAcentral.